AGGUAGUUGGUGAGGUAACGGCCCACCAAGCCGACGAUCGGUAGCCGACCUGAGAGGGUGAUCGGCCACAUUGGGACUGAGACACGGCCCAAACUCCUACGGGAGGCAGCAGUGGGAAUAUUGGGCAAUGGGGGGAACCCUGACCCAGCAACGCCGCGUGGAGGAAGAAGGUUUUCGGAUCGUAAACUCCUGUCCUUGGAGACGAGUAGAAGACGGUAUCCAAGGAGGAAGCCCCGGCUAACUACGUGCCAGCAGCCGCGGUAAUACGUAGGGGGCAAGCGUUGUCCGGAAUAAUUGGGCGUAAAGGGCGCGUAGGCGGCUCGGUAAGUCUGGAGUGAAAGUCCUGCUUUUAAGGUGGGAAUUGCUUUGGAUACUGUCGGGCUUGAGUGCAGGAGAGGUUAGUGGAAUUCCCAGUGUAGCGGUGAAAUGCGUAGAGAUUGGGAGGAACACCAGUGGCGAAGGCGACUAACUGGACUGUAACUGACGCUGAGGCGCGAAAGUGUGGGGAGCAAACAGGAUUAGAUACCCUGGUAGUCCACACUGUAAACGAUGAAUGCUAGGUGUAGGGGGUAUCGACCCCUUCUGUGCCGCAGUCAACACAAUAAGCAUUCCGCCUGGGGAGUACGGCCGCAAGGUUGAAACUCAAAGGAAUUGACGGGGGCCCGCACAAGCAGCGGAGCAUGUGGUUUAAUUCGACGCAACGCGAAGAACCUUACCAGGUCUUGACAUCCACUUAAACUUACAGAGAUGUAAGGUGUGCUUGCACAAAGUGAGACAGGUGGUGCAUGGUUGUCGUCAGCUCGUGUCGUGAGAUGUUGGGUUAAGUCCCGCAACGAGCGCAACCCUUAUCUUCAGUUACUAACGCGUAGAGGUGAGGACUCUGAAGAGACUGCCGGGGACAACUCGGAGGAAGGUGGGGACGACGUCAAAUCAUCAUGCCCCUUAUGACCUGGGCUACACACGUCUACAAUGGCCACGACAGAGAGAAGCGAAAUCGAAGGUAGAGCGGAACUCAAAAAAAGUGGUCCCAGUUCGGAUUGUGGGCUGCAACCCGCCCACAUGAAGUCGGAGUUGCUAGUAAUCGCGGAUCAGCAUGCCGCGGUGAAUACGUUCCCGGGCCUUGUACACACCGCCCGUCACACCAUGGGAGUUGGGAGUGCCCAAAGCCGGUGAGGCAACCGCAAGGAGCCAGCCGUCUAAGGCAAGACCAAUGACUGGGGUGAAGUCGUAACAAGGUAGCCGUAUCGGAAGGUGCGGCUG
This 1260-nucleotide ribosomal RNA is filed under the name metagenome. Its description in RNAcentral is "bacterial SSU rRNA". It matches the Rfam family "Bacterial small subunit ribosomal RNA", at positions 243 to 1520 of the family's 1533-position model. The record is from RNAcentral.